CCCUGAACAUUGCCUCACACCAGCUAGUGUGGUCUGGUGGCUGUGUUCACAGGUCUGCUGAUGUAAGGAGAUGUAGAGCUGAGAGUACAAAUGGUUUGUGGACCUCUUACCAGGUAUGGCAGCUCAAAGGGACACGAGCCCACCACUUCAGAGCAAACUCCUACAGACAAAAGAAUGGGAAAGAAAUUAAUGCCUUGUUCUUUUAGAACGGGUCUCUCUUUGUUGGUGCUCUGCCAAGUCUUUUUGUGAGAAAUGAAUAUGGUGAGGUAACUUUGUACAAGUUUAGGUGCAGCCCAGACCAGCUACAGAGCUGACAGUGGUGUCUGCUCUCUUCCAGUGCUGGCACGUACGAUCAGCAAUACUUCUCUGGGCCAUAAUCUACAAAAUAAAACUGAAAAACUUUGAUUCUCUCUAUUUCAGUGAGUCAAGAAUCUGAAAAUUCUUCCAACUGAAGCUUAUCAGAACUUGAACAUUUUAUGCUGAUCACCUCAUCCAUAAGCUAACAAAAGGCUUAUCUGUGUCUUUUCCACUGUAACUGGCAGUCCUCCGUAGGCGCAUGUUCAGCAUUUCAAGACUAACUUAAAGGUCAAAUUUACCAUACAGGCAGAUUGGAUGAGCUCGUGGUUGAGGAAAGACCAUCUAAAGGUGGCUUGUCUAACAUCUGUACGCACACACACACACAUUCAGGGUUCACACACAUUUCUUUUUGGUCUAGCCUUGUCUCAGACAUGACCCAUGUGCCGAGUAUCAGGAUAAAGCUGUACUAGAAAUGUUAGAUGUGGGUUGAAUGUAAGUCUGACAAAAGAAAUGUUUGAAGAAAGAGAUGGAGCAGAAUUACAUUGUUCUGAUCCCUCGUAUUUGAAACCUGAGUUAUGACAAACUGCUGAAGUACUUUGUGUUUAAGCAGUUUUCUCCCAAAUUUUUGGUAGGCCAUUAUGGGAUGCAGACUCUCAUGCUGGAAAACAAUGACCAGUCCCUACAUCCUGGUUCUACAAACUGUCCCUCAAACAACCUGGUCCCUGGUCGUGUUCUUUAAACUUCUGUUCUAAUUGUGAGUUUUCAGCCCCUCUACCUUCCACCUGGCAGAAAAACCACAGGUGCUUCACCAGAGAGGAGGAAUUUGGAGACAGCAACUGCUUUUUCACCGAGACACUUCGAUAGCUAUUGGCUUGCUUGUGUGCAUUCCUAAAAGUAGGACUUGCGUGCGAUCUCCCCUCCCAGCUGUCCCUAUCCUCCUUCUGUGACCUUAAUCUUGUGCCACACUUGUGUCCCUGGUCCUCCUGCCACCUGCCCCACCCAGCCUUGGCGGGGUGCCCAUGGCUGUGGGGCCCUGGAGACCCAAAAGUUGGCAGUAGCCUUUGAGUGCUGGUUUGCCAGCCAGCCCAGCAGCCGGAGGACAGGUGUCUAGCAGCCAGCAAGGCCCAUGUACAGAAUGAGGACUGGCAGCACGUGCCAACACGAGAAACUGGGAGGGAAAAUCAGCCAGGGUAUACAGCCACGUAUGGUCCCAAUUCCUCUGCGAGAUGUAAGAUGUGCCUUGGCUCUGCGACAGUCACAGGACUUGUUAAAAGAGAUGCAAACCAAAGAAGACUGGCACAGCUUGUACUGUCUUAUCCAGUCUAGCUUCAUUCUGUCAGGGAACAUCAAUUAAAUCAGAUGAAGAAAUUAGGGAGCUUUUGUCUAGCUGGUGAGUUAAAUAAAUAUUGAUUAAAAUAAAAUGAUUGCUAAGCAGAUGAGUCAAAGUAA
Molecule: long non-coding RNA, 1746 nt
Organism: Parus major (Great Tit)
Lineage: Eukaryota; Metazoa; Chordata; Aves; Passeriformes; Paridae
Exons: 2
Source: RefSeq, a predicted model, not a curated record